RNAcentral lists this ribosomal RNA (296 nucleotides) under uncultured marine eukaryote. RNAcentral describes it as "partial 18S ribosomal RNA". It matches the Rfam family "Eukaryotic small subunit ribosomal RNA", at positions 613 to 921 of the family's 1831-position model. The record is from RNAcentral.
UUGCAGUUAAAAAGCUCGUAGUUGGAUUUCUGGGAGCGUGCCAAUGUCCGCCUUGUGCGAGCGCAGUGGCGCGCUUCCAUCCUUCGGUUAACGCCUCUUGGCAUUCACUUGCUGGUGGCGGGCUCAGAUAUUUUACCUUGAGAAAAUUAGAGUGUUUCAGGCAGGCUAAGCCGGAAUACAUUAGCAUGGAAUAAUGGAAUAGGACUACGGUCUCUUUGUUGGUUUGAGGGACUGCAGUAAUGAUUAAUAGGGAUAGUUGGGGGCAUUAGUAUUUAAUUGUCAGAGGUGGAAUUCUC